GACGAACGCUGGCGGCGUGCUUAACACAUGCAAGUCGAACGGAAAGGCCCUGCUUUUGUGGGGUGCUCGAGUGGCGAACGGGUGAGUAACACGUGAGUAACCUGCCCUUGACUUUGGGAUAACUUCAGAAAACUGGGGCUAAUACCGGAUAGGAGCUCCUGCUGCAUGGUGGGGGUUGGAAAGUUUCGGCGGUUGGGGAUGGACUCGCGGCUUAUCAGCUUGUUGGUGGGGUAGUGGCUUACCAAGGCUUUGACGGGUAGCCGGCCUGAGCGGGUGACCGGCCACAUUGGGACUGAGAUACGGCCCAGACUCCUACGGGAGGCAGCAGUGGGGAAUAUUGCACAAUGGGCGGAAGCCUGAUGCAGCAACGCCGCGUGCGGGAUGACGGCCUUCGGGUUGUAAACCGCUUUCGCCUGUGACGAAGCGUGAGUGACGGUAAUGGGUAAAGAAGCACCGGCUAACUACGUG
Molecule: ribosomal RNA, 468 nt
Filed under: uncultured bacterium
Lineage: Bacteria
Description: partial 16S ribosomal RNA
Rfam family: Bacterial small subunit ribosomal RNA
Source: RNAcentral